AGAUGAGCGGUCGUUGCGUUCCAAAACUUCAUCCAGUCCGGAAGUGUGAUGCCAAGAAGCCUGUUGCGAAGAGGAAUGUCAAGGCCAAGCGCACAGCCGCAUAUGAAGGGAAAAAACGGAUUCAUUGUUGGCGAAUAUCAAAACAAGAAGAUUAAUUCAAGCACACACUAUCCAUUUUCAUUGUAUAUUAACUCAGUCGAAUAAGAUUUUUUAUAUGUAUUUGAAAUCUUAUUCGGUUCACACUGAUUAUCAAUUUGGUUCUACUAAACUUCAAUUGGUUUGAAUUGUUUA
Long non-coding RNA from Salvia splendens (bonfire salvia), 291 nucleotides. RefSeq lists it as uncharacterized. NCBI's taxonomy places the organism in Eukaryota, Viridiplantae, Streptophyta, Magnoliopsida, Lamiales, Lamiaceae. The transcript has 2 exons. The record is from RefSeq and is a predicted model, not a curated record.